Molecule: microRNA precursor, 73 nt
Organism: Rhinopithecus bieti (black snub-nosed monkey)
Lineage: Eukaryota; Metazoa; Chordata; Mammalia; Primates; Cercopithecidae
Source: Ensembl
UGAGGAUGAAAAGACCCAUGGAGGAGAAGGUUCUGCUGGCUGAGAACCUUUCUCUCCAUGGGUCUUUCAUCCU